Molecule: non-coding RNA, 168 nt
Filed under: uncultured Ruminococcus sp.
Lineage: Bacteria; Bacillati; Bacillota; Clostridia; Eubacteriales; Oscillospiraceae
Description: Lysine riboswitch
Rfam family: Lysine riboswitch aptamer
About the family: Riboswitches are metabolite binding domains within certain messenger RNAs that serve as precision sensors for their corresponding targets.
Source: RNAcentral
AAAGGUAGAGGUGCGGAUGAGAUCAGUAGCUGCUUCGAGGAUGACCGUUCCGAUGAAAGGCAGUGAAAGGCAAUUCCGCCGAAGGGCUGUUUCCGGUAAAUUCAGCUCUGGCCGCGGAUUUAAUAGAUUUGCGGCUGUCAUCAUUACAUUAUGGUGGAGAGCUAUCGG